RNAcentral lists this microRNA precursor (55 nucleotides) under Notamacropus eugenii (tammar wallaby). Its description in RNAcentral is "miRNA (ENSMEUG00000017388.1)". Lineage: Eukaryota; Metazoa; Chordata; Mammalia; Diprotodontia; Macropodidae. The record is from RNAcentral.
GCCGCGGCCGUGGCAGGGCUGGGCUGGGCUGGGCUCCGCAUCUGCAGUGCCACGG